CCCGCACAAGCAGCGGAGCAUGUGGUUUAAUCGACGCAACGCGAAGAACCUUACCUGGGUUUGACAUGGCAGUGUAAGCCGUGGAAAUACGGCCCCUCGCGAGAGCGCUGUCACAGGUGGUGCAUGGCUGUCGUCAGCCCGUGUCGUGAGAUGUUGGGUUAAGUCCCGCAACGAGCGCAACCCCUGUCCUAUGUUGCCAGCGGAUAAUGCCGGGGACUCGUAGGACACUGCCGGUGACAAACCGGAGGAAGGUGGGGAUGACGUCAAGUCAUCAUGCCCCUUAUGUCCAGGGCUACACACGUGCUACAAUGGCCGGUACAGACGGAGGCGAAGCCGCGAGGCGGAGCAAAUCCGAAAAAGCCGGUCUCAGUUCGGAUUGCAGGCUGCAAUUCGCCUGCAUGAAGUCGGAAUCGCUAGUAAUCGCAGGUCAGCAUACUGCGGUGAAUACGUUCCCGGGCCUU
RNAcentral lists this ribosomal RNA (461 nucleotides) under uncultured Rubrobacteria bacterium. Its description in RNAcentral is "bacterial SSU rRNA". It matches the Rfam family "Bacterial small subunit ribosomal RNA", at positions 920 to 1382 of the family's 1533-position model. The record is from RNAcentral. Lineage: Bacteria; Bacillati; Actinomycetota; Rubrobacteria.